AUGAGCACCAUAUUUAGUAGGGUGCAGGGACCUGUAACUCACCAAUCGCUUGAUAGCCAAAUUAGAGAGGGGGGCAAAACGCAUAAAUAUGAAAGCAGUGCAUUUGCUGCUCGGAAAGGUGAUGAUGGCCCUGUUCUGUCCAAGGUCAACAACCCCAAACGAACUCUAGCCUGCCAAUCACAUGGUCAGCAGCUGAAACAAACACAAACCAUACAAUCAGGUGAACCUGGACAGGAGGAGGAGGAGCUGAUUCUGUACCCUGUAGAUGAGGCGGUCGAGGACGAAUCGGGCGCAGAGGAAGCCGAGGGAGAAGGGCAGCGCAUGGGGAGGACGAACGCCCAGCAGCUACUUGUGGCUCGGAGACUCACGGCGCACCUGAGAACCUGGACGGGAGGAGGAGACCGCUGCCGAGGAGGAGGCGUGGAGGGUGGGAUGCGCCCUUUGCGACACCGUUAA
RNAcentral lists this ribosomal RNA (456 nucleotides) under Triticum aestivum (bread wheat). RNAcentral describes it as "partial small subunit ribosomal RNA". Lineage: Eukaryota; Viridiplantae; Streptophyta; Magnoliopsida; Poales; Poaceae. The record is from RNAcentral.